RNAcentral lists this non-coding RNA (27 nucleotides) under Homo sapiens (human). Lineage: Eukaryota; Metazoa; Chordata; Mammalia; Primates; Hominidae. The record is from RNAcentral.
GCACAUGUUGUGGAUGAUACUGGUACC